AUUCAGCUGACGAGUCCUAAAUCGGACGAGACGCUAAUCCUGGAU
This 45-nucleotide non-coding RNA is filed under the name Schistosoma mansoni. The record is from RNAcentral. Lineage: Eukaryota; Metazoa; Platyhelminthes; Trematoda; Strigeidida; Schistosomatidae.